GCGCAGACGCUGCAGAGCUGCCCCAUGUGCCAGGUCGACUUCGCACCCGGGCUGGCCCAGCUGGACAUCGACAGCCACAUCGCCCAGUGCCUGGCGGACAGCACGGAAGACGUGGCGUGGUGACUGCCCGCACGCCGCUUGCCAGGACCACUGCCCUGCACACAGCCCGUGAGAAAGCCGAAGCUACACAUUUAAACACGUCACCGUGGCCCGGCCGGCGUGGCUCAGUGGUUGAGCAUCGACCCGUGAACCAGGAGGUCACAGUUCGAUUCCCAGUUGGGGCACAUGCCCGGGUUGUGGGCGCCAUCCCCAGGGUGAGGCAGGCAGCUGAUAAGGUUCUCAUCAUUGAUGUUUCUACCUCUCCCUUCCUCUCGGAAAUCAGUUAAAACAUAUUUUAAAAAAACACACAAAAACCUGCUUCCUGGAAACACUUUUAAGGAAAAUAACAAGAGUAGGCGCUUUCAUGAAGGUCUUUAAUGAUGUGGGAACAGCGGCCACGGCUGGUGGGUGAGUGUCGGCCACAGGACAGCGGGGGCCACGGCCCAGCUAGUUGUACGAAACCACAGGACGUGGCGACUCCAAACCUCAGGCCAACGCGUCCUCCACCUUCUUUACUUUGUAAAACGGCUGCGUGUAGCUCCCACCACCGCGCACAGCGCUCCCCACACACUGUCCACAGCCAACCCGGCAACCGGAAGCGAGCCAACCCUGACGGGUGCCCCCGGCGGACACAUCCAGGCCCGGUGCUGCCCUCACGGCACCCAGCGCAGCGCCCUGCGAGGAGGAAGGCGCUCCCCUGGCGUUCCUGUCACGGGUGCCCUCCCCAGGCCACCGGCCCUGGCCAGUCCCGACCGACCGCUCAGCUCCCGUCCAGGCUCCGCUGCCGGACACCCGCUGGUGGGGAGAGGCCCGGCGGCUCUAGGGCGCUGCCUGUGCUCCGGGUCUUGGUCGGCGUUUCCUGGCGACACGGGGUCGGGCGGACACAGGUCUCCAUGAUGCCUGAAGGCGGCCGAGACCCCGGGUGGGGGCAGGGCCGAGCCUUGCGUUCCUGCCGCGGUUGCCGGAGCGUGGGCUGCGCGAGUGCAGCUGAGCUGACGGCUCCACGGCGGCCUCUUGUCGCUGUUCCUCCCAUCCUCCUGCCCCAACCGCCAGCCCCGCCCCACGGAGGCGCAGAGGGGCCUGGACGCUGGGGGACUCGGUGUCCGGCCAACGUGCUAGGGACUUAAGAACCCGUUAGAUUCGCCUCUUUCUAGAAAACCUUCGGUCUGGCUUGCGCGGCCCCUUAACCGGAGGAGGAGGGAGCGGGGACGCUGCCACCGCACGGACUGGGGGCCGGGUGCCUGCGGUUCCGGGUCCUUCGCUCUCCACCUUGCCCGUCACACGCGGCCUAACUGUCCUAAUUCUGAGCAUCCCCGGAACCACCGGCACCAACAAAAACGUUCCCGACUCGAACACGUGACACAAGACAUCAGUAGGCACCGCGCAGUGUUUGCAGAAAUAUAUUUGAGCAGAUUUAGUUU
Molecule: long non-coding RNA, 1520 nt
Organism: Myotis davidii
Lineage: Eukaryota; Metazoa; Chordata; Mammalia; Chiroptera; Vespertilionidae
Exons: 3
Source: RefSeq, a predicted model, not a curated record